GACGCCUGAGGAAUGUUCCACUGCUAUAAGGAUAGGCAAUGGAAAUGUUAACCGAGUCAUAAUCAAGCUUAGGCUUGGUAUCCUAUUAUUAUUUACCAAAAGAAUUCAGAAUUAAUAUUGUAACAUAGACGUAAAAAAUCUAUAAAACAACUUUUAACAACGGAUCUCUUGGUUCUCGCAUCGAUGAAGAACGUAGCAAAGUGCGAUAACUAGUGUGAAUUGCAUAUUCAGUGAAUCAUCGAGUCUUUGAACGCAACUUGCGCUCAUUGGUAUUCCAAUGAGCACGCCUGUUUCAGUAUCAAAACAAACCCUCUAUCCAACUUUUUGUUGAAUAGGAUGACUGAGAGUCUCUUGAUCUAUUUUGAUCUUGAACCUCUUGAAAUGUACAAAGGCCUGAUCUUGUUUGAAUGCCUGAACUUUUUUUUAAUAUAAA
RNAcentral lists this small RNA (433 nucleotides) under Circinomucor sp. 3 ERP-2018. RNAcentral's name for it is "partial 28S ribosomal RNA". The stretch from base 149 to 301 matches the Rfam family "5.8S ribosomal RNA". Lineage: Eukaryota; Fungi; Mucoromycota; Mucoromycetes; Mucorales; Mucoraceae. The record is from RNAcentral.